GCUGACACAGCCCGGCCAAUCUCCAGCAGACCCUCCCUCCCAGACCCUCCCACCUCCUGGACAGCAUCCAUUGUGAAGCUGCCUUCAACAUGGAUGCUGUCCAGGAGGUGGGAGGGUCUGGGAGGGAGGGUCUGCUGGAGAUUGGCCGGGAUGUGUCAG
RNAcentral lists this microRNA precursor (159 nucleotides) under Pelobates cultripes (western spadefoot toad). The record is from RNAcentral. Lineage: Eukaryota; Metazoa; Chordata; Amphibia; Anura; Pelobatidae.